Molecule: long non-coding RNA, 609 nt
Organism: Cyprinus carpio (common carp)
Lineage: Eukaryota; Metazoa; Chordata; Actinopteri; Cypriniformes; Cyprinidae
Source: Ensembl
AUGGACCAGGCUUUUUAUCCACUGUAUGCUCAGGGUGGUAAUGAUGGACGCCCUUGUGCAUACCAGCCCGGGAGCAUCCAGCUCCAUGCUCCAUUUCCCCAGGUCCAGAAUCAGCACAACCAGCCUGUGGUCAUUGUUCAACCCUCUGCGAACAUGAGGCAAAAUCCACCGGCCGAGCCUGUGCCGGAUUACAUGUGUUACUCCAGAUUUACCACACUGUGCUGCUGUAUCUGCCUGGGACUUUGUGCUCUUUAUUACUCUAAAGAAGUCAGGUGCUAUGGAAACUCCUCCAAUGCAGAAUGGAAAACCACAAAGCUGAGGACUCGCUCUGCUAAUGCUGCUGGACAGAGAAGAGAAGCCGCGAGAAACUCUCAAACUGCACUCAUCCUGAACCAUAUCUCUGUUGUUGUGGGAAUCAUCCUGAUUGGAGUAUAUCUCUUCAACGAAUUUUACCUAUCAUAUAUAUAAUGGAUCAUUAUCAAUAUACACUGAAAAAAAAAUUUCUCCAUACAUCCAAUUAAAAGAAUUUAAGGGUAAUAAUUCACAUCUAUAUUUACUAUACUUAUAUACCUUGAGCCAGUGAAAAAUAAAUAAAUUGCCCUUAAAGCA